Molecule: ribosomal RNA, 216 nt
Filed under: Glomeromycotina sp.
Lineage: Eukaryota; Fungi; Glomeromycota
Description: partial small subunit ribosomal RNA
Rfam family: Eukaryotic small subunit ribosomal RNA (bases 40-216)
Source: RNAcentral
GGGUCAGUAGGUUGGUCGUGCCACCGGUACGUACUGGUCUAACUGAUUCCUCCUUCCUGAAGAACCGUAAUGCCAUUAAUUUGGUGUUGCGGGGAAACAGGACUGCUACUUUGAAAAAAUUAGAGUGUUUAAAGCAAGCUAACGCUUGAAUACAUUAGCAUGGAAUAAUGAAAUAGGACGAUCGAUCCUAUUUUGUUGGUUUCUAGGAUUGACGUA